RNAcentral lists this transfer RNA (72 nucleotides) under Cordylochernes scorpioides. RNAcentral describes it as "tRNA-Thr". It matches the Rfam family "tRNA". Rfam says of the family: Transfer RNA (tRNA) molecules are approximately 80 nucleotides in length. Their secondary structure includes four short double-helical elements and three loops (D, anti-codon, and T loops). Further hydrogen bonds mediate the characteristic L-shaped molecular structure. tRNAs have two regions of fundamental functional importance: the anti-codon, which is responsible for specific mRNA codon recognition, and the 3' end, to which the tRNAs corresponding amino acid is attached (by aminoacyl-tRNA synthetases). tRNAs cope with the degeneracy of the genetic code in two manners: having more than one tRNA (with a specific anti-codon) for a particular amino acid; and 'wobble' base-pairing, i.e. permitting non-standard base-pairing at the 3rd anti-codon position. Lineage: Eukaryota; Metazoa; Arthropoda; Arachnida; Pseudoscorpiones; Chernetidae. The record is from RNAcentral.
UCCAGGGUAGCCUAGUGGACAUGGCAUCUGCCCGGUAAGCGGAACACAGUGGGUCGAUUCCCAUCCCUGGAC